Molecule: long non-coding RNA, 1968 nt
Organism: Polyodon spathula (Mississippi paddlefish)
Lineage: Eukaryota; Metazoa; Chordata; Actinopteri; Acipenseriformes; Polyodontidae
Exons: 2
Source: RefSeq, a predicted model, not a curated record
UAUAAUUAUUAGCAGGAUUAUAUUAACAGAAACAGUAAGGAAGGUGUUUAGAAUUGAGUUUGUUUUGUUACCAGUGAGGGUUUAUUUCUGUUGCGUAAAUUUAAUUAUUAUUAUUUUUUUAAGACCGUAUUUAUCUUGAAGACAAAACAGCAACAAAAAAAAAAAGAAACGCCGAGGCUCAACAUUUUUUUUUUUUUAAACGGUUUUAAGAAAGAAAAGCCUUCGUUUAUUUUGCGGUGUGAGGUGGAGUUUUGAUUCUCGCUGUUAGUUCUGCAGUCAAGGACCUAAUUCCAGGUGGACUAAACCCCAUGAGUGCUAGCGGGCUCUCCCUGUGAUGGAGGAGGGGUGCCUCUGUGUGUGUGCAGUCUUAAUCAGGGCCCAGCCUCCUCUGUGGUGGACUUGUGUGGGGUGGGGCACAGCUUCAAAAAGCAGGACCCCAGAAAUCAGCAGUUAAGUGUGAGCCUGUGGUGUGUGUGAAUUGGGACGCUCGAGGGAGUAACUAUUCCCUUGGCUUUGAUACUGAAAUGGGGUUUCUUGCUGUUAUUUGGUCGGCACUGGUGUGUUGUUUUUAAUAUUUGCAGUUGGUAACGCCCUUGUUGGUGUUUGGGUUAAUGUGGGGGGGUGAAAAUGGAUCUCUCUAGUUUUUUUCCCAGGUCUACUCUCAAAGUGUAGGCUCAGAAACCCUGUGGUUGGAUUGAAGAUAGAGCCCUGCGACGCCCCCUGCUGGCGCGCCUGCCCCCCUUGUGUAGUGCUGUCUCUUUAAAAUGGCUGAAUCCUUUAAACUGAGGCAAAGCAGUUCGGAGCCCCGGGAGAGAGUGGCAGGUGAAAAUACAGACCCCAGAACAGAUGAGAAACGUGUUUAUACCUUUUCAUAUGGGCUACCCUGUAAAUAACUUCCAUAUUGACUGAUUUCUAAAGCUGGAACGACCGCGUGAUAGACGACUGACUGGAUUCAGCUGGAGAAGCGUUUAUUUGGUUGUUUUGAAGGGGGUGGGGUGGGAGUAUAACCUGACUCUUUCCUAGCCUUUUUUCAGCUCUUCUAAGCUGUGGUGUAAAGCACCCCCUCAUUGAUGUGUAAACCCAGAGCUAUCAUUCGCAAGCCUGCUGUGCGAGGCUCCCAGGAGUGCGGACGGCUACAGAAGGCAGUUCUGCUCCUCUCUCUAGUUGUGUGUGUGCCGGUCCCUUAGUGUCUUGGAUCCAGGAGCGUCUGGUUGUUGAUGGUAAUGAUCCAGUGUGGGUCUGUCUCUUCUCAAUAUUGGGUUUAAGUGGUGGGGUGGGAGGGGUCUCUUAACUGUAAGACUCUUCCAGGUGCGUACGCACGGUUUUAUAACGGCUCAAAACGACAUUCUCUGGCCUGCUACCCCCCAGGAGAAGGAUGGAUUUUUUGAUGCGCCUCGUCUCAUUUCGACACUUUCAGGCACGUGGGGUUUCGUUGAGGGUUUGAGUUGAUCAUUUUGUUUUAAACCUCAAUUAAAUUGUUGAAUAGCACACUUGUAUCUAUUCUAGCAGUGAGGCUUCUUGUGAUUUCAUGUUCUGUGAGUAUGGAGGGAUGGUUACAGGUAUUGACAGACUGGGAGGGGGGGUGGUAAGAGGGGGAGUUUCUUUUGCUUUUUCCCGUAUGCAGAGUUCGGAUUGCUUGUGCAAGUAAAUAGCCCUGACUGAGGGCUGAAGCCGUGUCCACAUAACUUAUGUAAAGAUUCGAGAUGGUACGAGUCCCUCUGCUGUGUCCUGCAAUUUUCCCCACAAGUUAAAGGUAUACUGUAAAUAUUCCCUUCAUUUGAAAGUCUGACCUUGUAUGUUUUGGUAUGUAACUGGAGCAAUGGUAAACGGUAUCGAUAAGUGAUGUUGGGGUUGUAGAAUUCUGUACCAUGAAUAAAACUAACCUGUUGGCUUGUAAAGCCGGUUUUUUAGGGUAAUGGUUUUUUUAAACUGCAAAAUUAAACUUUUUAUAAACUCUUUCUAAAUAAA